This 32-nucleotide transfer RNA is filed under the name Helictochloa aetolica. Its description in RNAcentral is "partial tRNA-Thr". RNAcentral also lists the same sequence under 1 other name. Lineage: Eukaryota; Viridiplantae; Streptophyta; Magnoliopsida; Poales; Poaceae. The record is from RNAcentral.
AAUGCGAUGCUCUACCUCUGAGCUAAGUGGGC